This 253-nucleotide ribosomal RNA is filed under the name uncultured bacterium. RNAcentral's name for it is "partial 16S ribosomal RNA". It matches the Rfam family "Bacterial small subunit ribosomal RNA", at positions 524 to 776 of the family's 1533-position model. The record is from RNAcentral.
UACGUAGGGGGCAAGCGUUGUCCGGAUUUACUGGGCGUAAAGAGCGCGUAGGCGGACGUUUAAGUGUGGCCUGAAAGCCCCCGGCUCAACCGGGGAUCCGGGUUGCAAACUGGACGUCUUGAGGGGGAUAGGGGAAGGUGGAAUUCCUGGUGUAGCGGUGAAAUGCGCAGAUAUCAGGAGGAACCCCGGUGGCGAAGGCGGAUCUCUGGGCCAUUACUGACGCUGAGGAGCGAAAGCGUGGGGAGCGAACAGG